AUUGAACGCUGGCGGCAGGCUUAACACAUGCAAGUCGAGCGGGGUGAUGGUGCUUGCACUAUCACUUAGCGGCGGACGGGUGAGUAAUGCUUAGGAAUCUGCCUAUUAGUGGGGGACAACAUCUCGAAAGGGAUGCUAAUACCGCAUACGUCCUACGGGAGAAAGCAGGGGAUUACUUGUGACCUUGCGCUAAUAGAUGAGCCUAAGGCGGAUUAGCUAGUUGGUGGGGUAAAGGCCUACCAAGGCGGCGAUCUGUAGCGGGUCUGGGAGGAUGAUCCGCCACACUGGGACUGAUACACGGCCGAGACUCCGACGGGAGGCAGCAGUGGGGAAUAUUGGACAAUGGGGGGAACCCUGAUCCAGCCAUGCCGCGUGUGUGAAGAAGGCCUUAUGGUUGUAAAGCACUUUAAGCGAGGAGGAGGCUCUUUUGGUUAAUACCCAAGAUGAGUGGACGUUACUCGCAGAAUAAGCACCGGCUAACUCUGUGCCAGCCGCCGCAGUAA
Molecule: ribosomal RNA, 503 nt
Filed under: uncultured bacterium
Lineage: Bacteria
Description: partial 16S ribosomal RNA
Rfam family: Bacterial small subunit ribosomal RNA
Source: RNAcentral